AAAAAUACACAUAAUAAAUCGCAUAAUAAAAUCUAAUUUGAUAGAUGAAAUUUAAAUCACAUAAAAUUUCAUUGUAUAAAAAAAAUACGGAAUUUAAGUUUCAGGAGUAAAAUUUUAAAAAUAUAGUGUAUGUGUGUAUAUAUAAUUAAUUUUAUUAAACAAUAUCUUCUACAAUUUUAUUUUCCUUCUAUUUAUUGAUUUUUUUAAAAUUAUUUUGAUAGAUUUAUCUCAAAUCCUUUUCAUAUAAUUUUUUAUAAAAUAAACUAUUGUAUAAAUUACUUUGCGCAUAUACCAAUUUUAAUGACUUUUAUUUAAAUAGAUUUAACUAUUAAAUUAUUUUUAUAUAACUUUUAUUUAAUUAAUAAUUAGAUUUAUAAAACUAUAUAAAAAUAUUAAAAAAACUAAAAUUUAUUAUAAAAAUAUUUUUAUAUCCGCAGCAUAGCGCGGGUAUUUUACUAGUAUAGAAUUAAGAGGACAAUACUGUCGCACAUAUUUGGCCGAAAAAAAGCUUUUAGUGUUUGUUUAUAUAUUAUUAUUUUUUUUUUUUGGAAAGAGAUAGAUAGUAUGCUACCCGCUUCAUUUAUUUUAUUUAGAAAUAAAUUUUUUUUUUGAGAGAGAUAGGUAGCAUGCUAUCCGCUUCGUUUAUUUCAUUUAUAAAUAAAUUUAGCUGGAAAUGUGAAUCAAUUAACUAGGAUUCAAACUUGGGUCUCGAGUACCAACCACCAAGCCUUUUGUCACUUGCUCUAGAGACGGUUGGUGAUUUAGAAAUAAACUUAACUAUAAAUGUGAAUCAACUAGGAUUCGAACUUAAUUGAGAUCUCGAGUACCAACCACCAAACUCUUUGCCACUUGCGCUAGAGAUAGUCAGUCUAUUGGUAAAUUUUUAAGACCUUUUAAUAUAUAUUAUGUAGUAACAUGUACGUUGCGACGGAAAAAUAAUUGAGAAAAAAUAAAAAAAAAAGACGAUAAAAGAAGAGAAGAUGGUGAUGAAAUAAGAGAUCAUAAGGGAUGAGAUUCAUCUUGCCGAUGAACGAAGAUAAUAAUCGAAGGAAGAGGAAAAAGAACAGUUCGACUUAAUGCAGAGAUAUGAUUCGGUUUGGUUCGAGCAAAGAAAAAAUUCGAUUCAGUUCAAGCAAAGAAAGAGAAAAACUUGAGUCAGUUUAAGGUGGAGCUUAUAUUCGACAGUGAUAGAUUUGAUUAAAGCAAAAAAAUUAUCAGUUUAAAGAUAAAAACAUGUGGAGCAGUGGGGUCGGUUCGGUCCGAUGCAACAGGUUGGCCCAGCUCGGCUUAAGCAAAGAAAGAGAGAAAACAAAUUCGGUUCACAUAAAGAAAAAAAUAUAUGUGAAAGACUUGAGCCGGUUCGGAGGAGCUUGCACUCAAUAAUGAUCGGUUCUGUUCAAGUAAAGAAAAAGAAAAAUUCGGUUUGAUUAAAGCAAAUAAAAAGAAAAUUAUGUGGAGGACUUAAGCUGGUUCAAAGUGUUGUCAUGUGAUAAAUUUUUUAAAAUUAUAUAUAUAUAUAUAUAUAGAUAUAUAUAUAUAUAGUCCGGCUACUAUACUUUUAUGAGUACGAUCGCCCUCGUACUUAUAAAUUAUUUUCGAUGAUAAAGCUUCCGAAUCGACGAUCCAUACAAUUAAACAUUAUCUAGAGCAUUUAAAACUUCUAGUAAUUAAAUUUUAUAAUUUUUCGACAUCAUUUACCUUACGAUCAAAAGCUCACAAAAUUGAUAAUUUUUAACGGCCGGUAUAGAAUACUUGCUAGUUUAAUGGUGUAAAAGAAAUGGAAUAGGUUGAAUUUUUGAUAGAAAAUUCUAUUCGCUACCUAGAUAAAGAUCAAUAACUCCGAUUUUGAAUUGAAGGAUCCGAUCAUCCAUUUUUAGGACGUCGUUUGAUUUUGACCGUUCAUUUUAUGCUCAUUUGAUGGACUUUAUUAUGAUUUAGAAAAAUUACAAAAUUUAUAUUUUAGAAGUUUCAAAUACUCUAGAUCAUAUUUAACGGAGUGGAUCGUUGAUUCGGAAGCCCCAUCAUCGAAAACAACUUAUGAAUACGAAUGGUCCAAUACCCAUAAGAGUAUAGUAGCCCUACUCUCUCUCUCUCUCUCUCUCUCUCUCUCUCUAUAUAUAUAUAUAUAUAUAUAUAUAUAUAUAUAGAGAGAGAGAUCUCUCUCUCUCUCUCUCUCUCUCUCUCUCUCUCUAUAUAUAUAUAUAUAUAUAUAUAUAUAUAUAUAGAGA
Molecule: long non-coding RNA, 2228 nt
Filed under: Ananas comosus (pineapple)
Lineage: Eukaryota; Viridiplantae; Streptophyta; Magnoliopsida; Poales; Bromeliaceae
Description: long non-coding RNA (ACOM_LNC004457)
Source: RNAcentral